This 497-nucleotide ribosomal RNA is filed under the name uncultured bacterium. Its description in RNAcentral is "partial 16S ribosomal RNA". It matches the Rfam family "Bacterial small subunit ribosomal RNA", at positions 28 to 507 of the family's 1533-position model. The record is from RNAcentral.
GAUGAACGCUGGCGGCGUGCCUAAUACAUGCAAGUCGAGCGAACAGAUAAGGAGCUUGCUCCUUUGACGUUAGCGGCGGACGGGUGAGUAACACGUGGGUAACCUACCUAUAAGACUGGAAUAACUCCGGGAAACCGGGGCUAAUGCCGGAUAACAUUUAGAACCGCAUGGUUCUAAAGUGAAAGAUGGUUUUGCUAUCACUUAUAGAUGGACCCGCGCCGUAUUAGCUAGUUGGUAAGGUAACGGCUUACCAAGGCAACGAUACGUAGCCGACCUGAGAGGGUGAUCGGCCACACUGGAACUGAGACACGGUCCAGACUCCUACGGGAGGCAGCAGUAGGGAAUCUUCCGCAAUGGGCGAAAGCCUGACGGAGCAACGCCGCGUGAGUGAUGAAGGUCUUCGGAUCGUAAAACUCUGUUAUUAGGGAAGAACAAAUGUGUAAGUAACUGUGCACGUCUUGACGGUACCUAAUCGGAAAGCCACGGCUAACUACGUG